UGCUGCACUGGGCCCCCUUCUGGCCGGACUCCUUGUCAGCAGGUGGCUGGAAUCAGGUCUUCUACAUGCUAAUGGCUGCUGACUUUCUCGCGCUGUUGCUUUUGCUGCGGCUUGUGAUGAAGGAGCUAUCUUCCAAUAAAUCCCAUCCGAUCUCCGUUGGACAGAUGAAGGAGCACUGAGCACUUUGAUUGCACUGAAGUAGGUCGAUCCUACAACGUGCACACAGUACUAUGCAAUGACACCACUGAUCUAUGUCUGACACGAACCCAGGACACGGACACGAUGCACUAUGGAUAGACAGAUAUGCACUGGCACUUGGUGACAGAAAACGAACUUACGAGCACCCGUGUGUGCACACAGACUGUUGUCACUAUGGCAGCUCAUUGUAAAGUGUACUUGCACCUCUGA
Molecule: long non-coding RNA, 408 nt
Organism: Thalassophryne amazonica
Lineage: Eukaryota; Metazoa; Chordata; Actinopteri; Batrachoidiformes; Batrachoididae
Exons: 3
Source: RefSeq, a predicted model, not a curated record